Molecule: ribosomal RNA, 252 nt
Filed under: uncultured bacterium
Lineage: Bacteria
Description: partial 16S ribosomal RNA
Rfam family: Bacterial small subunit ribosomal RNA
Source: RNAcentral
UACGUAGGUGGCGAGCGUUAUCCGGAAUGAUUGGGCGUAAAGGGUGCGUAGGCGGCCUGCUAAGUCUGGAGUGAAAGGUACCGGCUCAACCGGUACAGGCUCUGGAAACUGGCGGGCUAGAGAGCAGGAGAGGGCGGUGGAACUCCAUGUGUAGCGGUAAAAUGCGUAGAUAUAUGGAAGAACACCAGUGGCGAGGCGGCCGCCUGGCCUGUUGACUGACGCUGAGGCACGAAAGCGUGGGGAGCAAAUAGG